CUACGGGUGGCACCAGUGGGGAAUAUUGGACAAUGGGGGAAACCCUGAUCCAGCAAUGCCGCGUGUGUGAAGAAGGCCUGCGGGCUGUAAAGCACUUUCGGUUGGGAGGACUGCUUCUAGCACUAAUAUUGUUGGAAGUUGACGUUACCUUCAGAAGAAGCACCGGCUAACUCCGUGCCAGCAGCCGCGGUAAUACGGAGGGUGCAAGCGUGAAUCGGAAUUACUGGGCGUAAAGCGCGCGUAGGCGGCUAGAUCAGUCGGGUGUGAAAGCCCCGGGCUUAACCUGGGAACUGCAUCCGAUACUGUCUAGCUUGAGUACAGGAGAGGAGAGUGGAAUUCCACAUGUAGCGGUGAAAUGCGUAGAUAUGUGGAGGAACACCAAUGGCGAAGGCAGCUCUCUGGCCUGAUACUGACGCUGAGGUGCGAAAGCGUGGGGAGCAAACAGGAUUAGAUACCCGUGUAGUC
RNAcentral lists this ribosomal RNA (465 nucleotides) under uncultured bacterium. Its description in RNAcentral is "partial 16S ribosomal RNA". It matches the Rfam family "Bacterial small subunit ribosomal RNA", at positions 339 to 795 of the family's 1533-position model. The record is from RNAcentral.